Molecule: unclassified non-coding RNA, 300 nt
Filed under: fungal sp.
Lineage: Eukaryota; Fungi
Description: partial contains small subunit ribosomal RNA and internal transcribed spacer 1
Rfam family: Eukaryotic small subunit ribosomal RNA (bases 1-46)
Source: RNAcentral
AAGUCGUAACAAGGUUUCCGUAGGUGAACCUGCGGAAGGAUCAUUAACACGUAUCCAACGUUAAAAACCCCGUGCACCUUAAUCCUGCUCUCCUCGCCUUGAUAAGCAAUCUCUGGUAAAUCACGCUGACCGGUUUGAUUCAGAGACCUCUUUGAGACGUGGGGAUUGAGCGGUAGAGCAAAUAGACUUGGUUUCUGAGCUCUUUCGGGAGUGAUGAUAACUGAUACUUACUCAGAUCGUUGGCCCUCACGGCCAACGGACAGGUCUCUGGGGCUUCGGCUCCCCAUAUUAACCACGUAU